This 484-nucleotide ribosomal RNA is filed under the name uncultured bacterium. Its description in RNAcentral is "partial 16S ribosomal RNA". It matches the Rfam family "Bacterial small subunit ribosomal RNA", at positions 28 to 507 of the family's 1533-position model. The record is from RNAcentral.
AUUGAACGCUGGCGGCAUGCUUUACACAUGCAAGUCGAACGGCAGCGCGGGCUUCGCCCUGGCGGCUAGUGGCGAACGGGUGAGUAAUGCAUCGGAACGUGCCCAGUAGUGGGGGAUAGCGCGUCGAAAGCCGGAUUAAUACCGCAUACGACCUUAGGGUGAAAGCGGGGGACCGAAAGGCCUCGCGCCAUUGGAUCGGCCGAUGUCGGGUUAGCUAGUUGGUGGGGUAAAGGCUUACCAAGGCGACGAUCCGUAGCUGGUCUGAGAGGACGACCAGCCACACUGGGACUGAGACACGGCCCAGACUCCUACGGGAGGCAGCAGUGGGGAAUUUUGGACAAUGGGGGCAACCCUGAGCCAGCCAUGCCGCGUGCGGGAAGAAGGCCUUCGGGUUGUAAAACGCUUUUGUUCGGGAAGAAAUCCUCUGGGCUAAUACCCCGGGGGGAUGACGGUACCGGAAGAAUAAGCACCGGCUAACUACGUG